GACGUAGGGCGCGAGCGUUGUCCGGAUUUAUUGGGCGUAAAGAGCUCGUAGGCGGCUUGUCGCGUCGUCCGUGAAAACUUGGGGCUCAACCCCAAGCUUGCGGUCGAUACGGGCAGGCUGGAGUUCGGUAGGGGAGACUGGAAUUCCUGGUGUAGCGGUGAAAUGCGCAGAUAUCAGGAAGAACACCCGUGGCGAAAGCGGCUCUCUGGAACGGUACUGACGCUGAGACGCGAAAGCGUGGGGAGCGAACAGG
RNAcentral lists this ribosomal RNA (253 nucleotides) under uncultured bacterium. RNAcentral's name for it is "partial 16S ribosomal RNA". It matches the Rfam family "Bacterial small subunit ribosomal RNA", at positions 524 to 776 of the family's 1533-position model. The record is from RNAcentral.